UCCGUAGGUGAACCUGCGGAGGGAUCAUUACCGAGUUUACAACUCCCAAACCCAAUGUGAACCAUACCAAACUGUUGCCUCGGCGGGGUCACGCCCCGGGUGCGUCGCAGCCCCGGAACCAGGCGCCCGCCGGAGGGACCAACCAAACUCUUUCUGUAGUCCCCUCGCGGACGUUAUUUCUCACAGCUCUGAGCAAAAAUUCAAAAUGAAUCAAAACUUUCAACAACGGAUCUCUUGGUUCUGGCAUCGAUGAAGAACGCAGCGAAAUGCGAUAAGUAAUGUGAAUUGCAGAAUUCAGUGAAUCAUCGAAUCUUUGAACGCACAUUGCGCCCGCCAGUAUUCUGGCGGGCAUGCCUGUCCGAGCGUCAUUUCAACCCUCGAACCCCUCCGGGGGGUCGGCGUUGGGGAUCGGGAACCCCUAAGACGGGAUCCCGGCCCCGAAAUACAGUGGCGGUCUCGCCGCAGCCUCUCCUGCGCAGUAGUUUGCACAACUCGCACCGGGAGCGCGGCGCGUCCACGUCCGUAAAACACCCAACUUCUGAAAUGUUGACCUCGGAUCAGGUAGGAAUACCCGCUGAACUUAAGCAUAUCAAUAAGCGGAGGAA
RNAcentral lists this ribosomal RNA (605 nucleotides) under Trichoderma koningiopsis. Its description in RNAcentral is "eukaryotic LSU rRNA". The stretch from base 215 to 368 matches the Rfam family "5.8S ribosomal RNA". Lineage: Eukaryota; Fungi; Ascomycota; Sordariomycetes; Hypocreales; Hypocreaceae. The record is from RNAcentral.